UCUCUCUCUCUCUCUCUCAAAAAAAAGAAAAAAGAAAAAGAAAAAGGUAAUGGGAGGAGGCUGGGGUGCCGUGGCUCAUGCCCGCAAUCCCAGCGACUCUGGAGGCUGAGACAGGAGGAUCGCAAGUUCAAACCCUCAGGAACUUAGAGAGGCCCUAAGCAACUCAGCAAGACCCUGUCUCAAAAUUUAAAAUAAAAAAGGGUUGGGAAUGUGUGGCUCCAUGGUUAAGCACCACUGGAUUCUAUCCCUGGUAUAAGAAGAAGGAGGAGAAGGAGAAGGAGAAGGACUACUGAGUGGAGGCACUGGUUCAUAGAGAUCUGGGGACCUUAUCAGUCAGCCAUGUUGGGAGCAUUGGAUCUCCUCAGGAAGGAAGGAAGAGGUCUGUGAUCAGGGGAAUGGCAUGAGUGCACUCAGAAGUAGGACUGAACCCAUCACCCCACCUGAGGACUCUUGGUAAGUGGAAAGGAUGUGGAAGGCAGAAGAGGAGGCCCCUGGGAUCUCCCACACUGGCCUCCCUCGGUCUCUUUCCAGAUGUCCUCGAGCCUCUGGAGAAAUACUUAAAUUUCCUUCAAGGAAAGCAUGGGAACAUGCAUCCUGAAAUUAAGGUGACUUCCUAUGGUUUUGCAAAUUGGUUACAGACUUUUAGUGGUUUUGUUUGAAAAGAAAAUUAUUGUAGAUGUCGAGACUAAAUGCAAUUUGUUCAGUGCUGAGUGCAGAGAAAGAAAGGAAAGUAUUGCCCUGAGAUCACCCACUCCUGUGUUAAGGAAGAGGCAGCAGAGUAGGGAGGGGAGGGACCUGCCAGAGGAGCGCACAGCCACAGCCGCAGUGACCAUCUCCAGGGGCAGAUGGCAGAUGGCUUUUAAGCCUCCAAUAGGACAGAGGAUAUUUGGUGGGCAGUUCUCCCAGCAGGAUGGAGGAGAGGCGAUGGGAGUCCCUCCAGUUUCUGGUCUCUGCUUGCACACCUUGCCUGAGAGAGAGAGCUCAUGCUUACCUGGCUGCCUAUGUGAACUAGCCCAGCUGCAGCUCUGGGAAGCCCACCCUGAGUGAGGCAUCAUUUCCCUCAAGCUCCCUGCCACAGUUCUCUGCAUCCUAACCUAUAUGCACUCCCAAUCCCAAGUUUUUGUCUUCACAUUCUCUAUCUGAACUGAGGCUGGGGUCAGGGCAGAGGUCUGGGUUUCUGCAUCCCACAUGGUUCUGAUACCAAUGGGAUCUGUCCUGGGUAGACCGUGCCUAUAAUUCUGUCUAUAAUGGCUGGGGUGGGGAUUAUAGGUCAGAGUGUCCCCACCUGGUGUGAGCUGGAAGGGUACAUGGUCUGCUUCCUGGAUGCCUAGCCUGUUACCCUGCAUGUCUUUCCUGGCCUGACUAAGCUGAGGAUGGACACAAGCCCAUGGGUAGAGGCAGGCCCAGAUAGUCGGCUUCAUGCACAUCAACAGACAAGUGGGGCAUUCCCAUGAGUUCCUUGCUCAGCAUGCAUCUAUUUGGCCCCUGUGAUGCAUACUGGGCCCUCAGAACUGAAUUAGAUGCAGAUACAACCUCUGCCCUCUGUAGCUGGAGGUCUGGACAAGUAUGUGGGAGACAGCAGGGGACAAUAAAAAAACAAAAAAAAAC
This 1608-nucleotide long non-coding RNA is filed under the name Marmota monax (woodchuck). The record is from RNAcentral. Lineage: Eukaryota; Metazoa; Chordata; Mammalia; Rodentia; Sciuridae.